GUCCACGCGGUAACGAUGAAUACUAGGUGUUGGGAGCAAGCUUCUCGGUGCCGUCGCAAACGCAAUAAGUAUUCCACCUGGGAGUACGUUCGCAAGAAUGAACUCAAAGGAAUUGACGGGACCCGCACAAGCGGUGGAGCAUGUGGUUUAAUUCGAAGCAACGCGAAGAACCUUACCUGAUCUUGACAUCCCGAUGACCGCUUCGUAAUGGAAGCUUUUCUUCGGAACAUCGGUGACAGGUGGUGCAUGGUUGUCGU
RNAcentral lists this ribosomal RNA (257 nucleotides) under uncultured bacterium. Its description in RNAcentral is "partial 16S ribosomal RNA". It matches the Rfam family "Bacterial small subunit ribosomal RNA", at positions 793 to 1055 of the family's 1533-position model. The record is from RNAcentral.